UUUCCGUAGGUGAACCUGCGGAAGGAUCAUUACUGAGUGAGGGCCCCUCGGGGUCCAACCUCCCACCCGUGUUUAACGAACCUUGUUGCUUCGGCGGGCCCGCCUCACGGCCGCCGGGGGGCAUUUGCCCCCGGGCCCGCGCUCGCCGAAGCCACCUGUGAACGCUGUCUGAAGUAUGCAGUCUGAGACAAUUAUUAAAUUAAUUAAAACUUUCAACAACGGAUCUCUUGGUUCCG
RNAcentral lists this unclassified non-coding RNA (236 nucleotides) under plant metagenome. Its description in RNAcentral is "partial contains small subunit ribosomal RNA, internal transcribed spacer 1, and 5.8S ribosomal RNA". The record is from RNAcentral.